GACGAACGCUGGCGGCGUGCUUAACACAUGCAAGUCGAACGGAAAGGCCCUGCUUUUGUGGGGUGCUCGAGUGGCGAACGGGUGAGUAACACGUGAGUAACCUGCCCUUGACUUUGGGAUAACUUCAGGUAACUGGGGCUAAUACCGGAUAGGAGCUCCUGCUGCAUGGUGGGGGUUGGAAAGUUUCGGCGGUUGGGGAUGUACUCGCGGCUUAUCAGCUUGUUGGUGGGGUAGUGGCUUACCAAGGCUUUGACGGGUAGCCGGCCUGAGAGGGUGACCGGCCACAUGGGGACUGAGAUACGGCCCAGACUCCAACGGGAGGCAGCAGUGGGGAAUAUUGCACAAUGGGCGGAAGCCUGAUGCAGAAACGCCGCGUGCGGGAUGACGGCCUUCGGGUUGUAAACCGCUUUCGCCUGUGACGAAGCGUGAGUGACGGUAAUGUGUAAAGAAGCACCGGCUAACUACGUG
RNAcentral lists this ribosomal RNA (468 nucleotides) under uncultured bacterium. RNAcentral's name for it is "partial 16S ribosomal RNA". It matches the Rfam family "Bacterial small subunit ribosomal RNA", at positions 28 to 507 of the family's 1533-position model. The record is from RNAcentral.